Saccostrea cuccullata (small rock oyster) is the source of this 1138-nucleotide long non-coding RNA. RefSeq lists it as uncharacterized. Lineage: Eukaryota; Metazoa; Mollusca; Bivalvia; Ostreida; Ostreidae. The transcript is spliced from 2 exons. The record is from RefSeq and is a predicted model, not a curated record.
UCUGGUACUCGCUCCCUGGCUCUCAGUUUUUACCUUCAAUAUCCUUAUUUUACGAAAGGUUAUUGAAUCUAACAGGAAAACAAAACUUGCGAAAGAUAAGACAAGGAGAGCUGAAGCCCAGUUGACACGUCUUUUAUUAUCGGUGACCUUCACCUUCCUAUUUCUAAUCAUAUUCCAGUGUCUUACUCAAUGUGUCUGGAUGCUGAAACCAGAAAGUGUAAACUACCGCAUGGUGGACGAAGCUUUCUCAAUCGCUAAACUGGGAAUCGUCAUUAAUUCCUCCAUCAACUUCUUCUUGUAUUGUUUAAGCGGGCGGAAAUGUGUGUGUUUAAGCGGGCGGAAAUUCAGAAAAGAGCUGAUGAUUCUCUGCUUUCCGAAGAAAACUCACCUUAAUCUUACUAGAAGCAGCUCCUCACACAGCACAAGUGGGACCGGGUCAACUACACUUUAACAUUUCUGUUACGUAAACUUUACAGAAAAAAAUGACCGCAUAAUUUUAUACGCCAAAUGAGCAACUGCUUAUCAUUCUUCUCGGGCGAAUUUGUUGAAUUUAUUUGAGAUAAAAUUUAUUUUAUUUUGUACUGAAAGGGAAUUCUAAGCAUGUUAUAUUUACUUUGAGUCUUAUUUCUUCUCAGUUCUUCACAGUUAACCGCUGAUAAUUCCAGCGAUUGAGAUUAAACCAUUUUUGAUAACGGAUUAUUUCGUGGAUCUGCAGAAUGGGAGUCAUUUUGUUUUUUAUACGUGUGAAUUCUAGUGCAAGGAUUUUUUAUUUAACUGAUUUACUUGCGUUUUAUAUUUUGUUAUCAAAUGUUCAGAGAUGCAGUAUGUAGGCACAAAUAAUUGAGUGUUUAUUGUUUAAUGCCCAGUCAGAAAUAUUUCAGCCUUGCUUUGGCAGGUACAUGUAGGCACGUUGCAGCACUUUUCAGCAAAACACGGCAACCCAUAAGAACUCGCCUUUAAGUCGUUUUCAGAUGUUAAAUCUUGGUCAAAAACUUUAUGUACGACUUACAUGUAUAGACGAGUCAAAAGAAACAGGUAUUUUCUGUAGAAUGACAAGAGGCAAUUAUUGAAGAAAAUUUUAAGAUUAUAUAAAAAGUACAAAUAUUUACUUAUUUUAAUAAAAAAAAUCUUAAGUGUG